This 253-nucleotide ribosomal RNA is filed under the name uncultured Clostridiaceae bacterium. RNAcentral's name for it is "partial 16S ribosomal RNA". It matches the Rfam family "Bacterial small subunit ribosomal RNA", at positions 524 to 776 of the family's 1533-position model. The record is from RNAcentral. Lineage: Bacteria; Bacillati; Bacillota; Clostridia; Eubacteriales; Clostridiaceae.
UACGUAGGUGGCGAGCGUUGUCCGGAAUUACUGGGCGUAAAGGGUGCGUAGGCGGAAAAUUAAGUCAGAUGUGAAAAUCCCGGGCUCAACCUGGGAACUGCAUUUGAAACUGAUUUUCUAGAGUGCAGGAGAGGAAAGCGGAAUUCCUAGUGUAGCGGUGAAAUGCGUAGAUAUUAGGAAGAACACCAGUGGCGAAGGCGGCUUUCUGGACUGUAACUGACGCUGAGGCACGAAAGCGUGGGGAGCAAACAGG